RNAcentral lists this ribosomal RNA (442 nucleotides) under uncultured bacterium. RNAcentral describes it as "partial 16S ribosomal RNA". It matches the Rfam family "Bacterial small subunit ribosomal RNA", at positions 338 to 795 of the family's 1533-position model. The record is from RNAcentral.
CCUACGGGUGACAGCAGUGGGGGAUAUUGCACAAUGGGGGAAACCCUGAUGCAGCGACGCCGCGUGGGCGAAGAAGUAUUUCGGUAUGUAAAGCCCUGUCAGCAGGGAAGAAGUAAUGACGGUAUCUGAGUAAGAAGCACCGGCUAAAUACGUGCCAGCAGCCGCGGUAAUACGUAGGGUGCAAGCGUUAUCCGGAUUUACUGGGUGUAAAGUGAGCGCAGGCGGCACGGCAAGUCGAAUGUGAAAGGCCGCGGCCCAACCGCGGGACUGCAUUUGGAACUACCAGGCUGGAGUGCCGGAGAGGUAGGCGGAAUUCCUAGUGUAGCGGUGAAAUGCGUAGAUAUUAGGAGGAACACCAGUGGCGAAGGCGGCCGACUGGACGAUGACUGACGCUGAGGCUCGAAAGCGUGGGGAGCAAACAGUAUUAGAUACCCUUGUAGUC